ACGGGGUGCAGCAGGCGCGAAAACUUUGCAAUGUGCGAAAGCACGACAAGGUUAAUCCGAGUGGUUUCUGCUAAAGGAACCUUUUGUUAGUCAUAGAACCACUAAUGAAUAAGGGGUGGGCAAGUUCUGGUGUCAGCCGCCGCGGUAAAACCAGCACCUCAAGUGGUCAGGAUGAUUAUUGGGCCUAAAGCAUCCGUAGCCGGCUUUGUUAGUUUUCGGUUAAAUCCAUACGCUCAACGUAUGGGCUGCCGGGAAUACUGCAAGGCUAGGGAGUGGGAGAGGUAGACGGUACUCGGUAGGAAGGGGUAAAAUCCUUUGAUCUAUUGAUGACCACCUGUGGCGAAGGCGGUCUACCAGAACACGUCCGACGGUGAGGGAUGAAAGCUGGGGGAGCAAACCGGAUUAGAUACCCGGGUAGUCCCAGCUGUAAACUAUGCAAACUCGGUGAUGCAUUGGCUUGAUGCCAAUGCAGUGCCGCAGGGAAGCCGUUAAGUUUGCCGCCUGGAAGUACGUACGCAA
This 519-nucleotide ribosomal RNA is filed under the name uncultured archaeon. Its description in RNAcentral is "bacterial SSU rRNA". It matches the Rfam family "Archaeal small subunit ribosomal RNA", at positions 325 to 846 of the family's 1478-position model. The record is from RNAcentral.